UAGGGAAUUUUUCACAAUGAGCGAAAGCUUGAUGGAGCAAUGCCGCGUGAACGAUGAAGGUCUUUAAGAUUGUAAAGUUCUUUUAUUUGGGAAGAAUGACUUUAGCAGGUAAUGGCUAGAGUUUGACUGUACCAUUUUGAAUAAGUGACGACUAACUAUGUGCCAGCAGUCGCGGUAAUACAUAGGUCGCAAGCGUUAUCCGGAUUUAUUGGGCGUAAAGCAAGCGCAGGCGGAUUGAAAAGUCUGGUGUUAAAGGCAGCUGCUUAACAGUUGUAUGCAUUGGAAACUAUUAAUCUAGAGUGUGGUAGGGAGUUUUGGAAUUUCAUGUGGAGCGGUGAAAUGCGUAGAUAUAUGAAGGAACACCAGUGGCGAAGGCGAAAACUUAGGCCAUUACUGACGCUUAGGCUUGAAAGUGUGGGGAGCAAAUAGGAUUAGAUACCCUAGUAGUCCACACCGUAACGAUAGAUACUAGCUGUCGGGGCGAUCCCCUCGGUAGUGAAGUUAACACAUUAAGUAUCUCGCCUGGUAGUACAUUCGCAAGAAUG
RNAcentral lists this ribosomal RNA (545 nucleotides) under uncultured bacterium. RNAcentral describes it as "bacterial SSU rRNA". It matches the Rfam family "Bacterial small subunit ribosomal RNA", at positions 355 to 896 of the family's 1533-position model. The record is from RNAcentral.